AAGUCAUAACAAGGUUUCUGUAGGUGAACCUGCAGAAGGAUCAUUAUUGAAUUGUUAAAAUGGGGAGAGUUUCGACUCUCCUCUAUCAUUCUUUAUUCCUAACACCUGUGAAUCGUUGCUGAUGUUUGCUGCAGUUUGGCAACAUUUUUUAUAACACACUAUAAAUAGUUUAAGAACGUAAAAUAUAAUAAUAAAAUUACAA
Molecule: unclassified non-coding RNA, 202 nt
Filed under: plant metagenome
Description: partial contains small subunit ribosomal RNA and internal transcribed spacer 1
Rfam family: Eukaryotic small subunit ribosomal RNA (bases 1-46)
Source: RNAcentral